CAAGUAGAGCUCAGAGACCCUCUCUUCCUAUUCAAUAGGGUACUCUUAUGACGUGUAGGGGUGCCACUGUGAUGUUCCAAGAAGAAGAACCGUGAAAAGAGUAUUUUAUAUUCAUGCAUGUUAUUAGAUCUUCAUUCAUAUAUGAUAUGCUUUAGAUGUUUAGUUAUAAUUAUAUUGUAUGAUUCUGCUUCCAUAUCUUAGA
RNAcentral lists this long non-coding RNA (202 nucleotides) under Elaeis guineensis (African oil palm). RNAcentral's name for it is "long non-coding RNA (EGUI_LNC068470)". Lineage: Eukaryota; Viridiplantae; Streptophyta; Magnoliopsida; Arecales; Arecaceae. The record is from RNAcentral.